AUUGAACGCUGGCGGCAGGCCUAACACAUGCAAGUCGAACGGCAGCACAGAAGAGCUUGCUCUUUGGGUGGCGAGUGGCGGACGGGUGAGUAAUGUCUGGGAAACUGCCCGAUGGAGGGGGAUAACUACUGGAAACGGUAGCUAAUACCGCAUAACGUCGCGAGACCAAAGUGGGGGACCUUCGGGCCUCACACCAUCGGAUGUGCCCAGAUGGGAUUAGCUAGUAGGUGGGGUAAUGGCUCACCUAGGCGACGAUCCCUAGCUGGUCUGAGAGGAUGACCAGCCACACUGGUACUGAGACACGGUCCAGACUCCUACGGGAGGCAGCAGUGGGGAAUAUUGCACAAUGGGCGCAAGCCUGAUGCAGCCAUGCCGCGUGUAUGAAGAAGGCCUUCGGGUUGUAAAGUACUUUCAGCGGGGAGGAAGGCGGUGAGGUUAAUAACCUUGCCGAUUGACGUUACCCGCAGAAGAAGCACCGGCUAACUCCGUGCCAGCAGCCGCGGUAA
This 506-nucleotide ribosomal RNA is filed under the name uncultured bacterium. Its description in RNAcentral is "partial 16S ribosomal RNA". It matches the Rfam family "Bacterial small subunit ribosomal RNA", at positions 30 to 523 of the family's 1533-position model. The record is from RNAcentral.